Molecule: ribosomal RNA, 506 nt
Filed under: uncultured bacterium
Lineage: Bacteria
Description: partial 16S ribosomal RNA
Rfam family: Bacterial small subunit ribosomal RNA
Source: RNAcentral
GAUGAACGCUAGCGGCAGGCCUAACACAUGCAAGUCGAGGGGUAACUAGAGUGAUAGCAAUAUUACUUUGGCUAGACCGGCGCACGGGUGCGUAACACGUAUGCAACCUACCUUAUACUGGGGAAUAACUUCGAGAAAUCGGCGCUAAUACCCCAUAACACUGCGGAGAGGCAUCUCUUUGCAGUUAAAGCUCCGGCGGUAUAAGAUGGGCAUGCGUCCAAUUAGCUAGUUGGUGAGGUAACGGCUCACCAAGGCUACGAUUGGUAGGGGUUCUGAGAGGAUGAUCCCCCACACUGGUACUGAGACACGGACCAGACUCCUACGGGAGGCAGCAGUGAGGAAUAUUGCGCAAUGGACGAAAGUCUGACGCAGCCAUGCCGCGUGCAGGAUGACGGCCCUAUGGGUUGUAAACUGCUUUUGUACGGGAAUAAACCCUUCUACGUGUAGGAGGCUGAAGGUACUGUAAGAAUAAGCACCGGCUAACUACGUGCCAGCCGCCGCAGUAA